Molecule: non-coding RNA, 824 nt
Organism: Chloroflexi bacterium GWC2_73_18
Lineage: Bacteria; Bacillati; Chloroflexota
Source: Rfam
UUGUCGGAGAGUUUGAUCCUGGCUCAGGAUUAACGCUGGCGGCGUGCAUGAGACAUGCAAGUCGAACGGACGAUCAGGGCUUGCUCUGGUCGUUAGUGGCGGACGGCUGAGUAACGCGUAGGUGACCUGCCCCGAAGUGGGGAACAACUGCCCGAAAGGGUGGCUAAUACCGCAUAUGGUCGGUCGUUCAUUCGCCCGAUCAAAGCCGAAAGGCGCUUCGGGAGGGGCUUGCGUCCGAUUAGCUCGUUGGUGGGGUAACGGCUCACCAAGGCGACGAUCGGUAGGUGGUCUGAGAGGACGAUCACCCAGACUGGGACUGAGACACGGCCCAGACUCCUACGGGAGGCAGCAGUCGGGAAUUUUGCGCAAUGGGCGAAAGCCUGACGCAGCAACGCCGCGUGAGGGAUGAAGGCCUUCGGGUCGUAAACCUCUUUUCUCAGGGACGAUGAUGACGGUACCUGAGGAAGAAGCCACGGCAAACUACGUGCCAGCAGCCGCGGUAAUACGUAGGUGGCGAGCGUUGUCCGGAUUUACUGGGCGUAAAGAGCGCGCAGGCGGUCGUUCAAGUCGAAUGUGAAAGCCCCCGGCUCAACUGGGGAGGGUCAUUCGAUACUGAUCGACUCGAAGGCGGGAGAGGGAAGCGGAAUUCCCGGUGUAGUGGUGAAAUGCGUAGAUAUCGGGAGGAACACCAGUGGCGAAGGCGGCUUCCUGGCCCGUUCUUGACGCUGAGGCGCGAAAGCUAGGGGAGCAAACGGGAUUAGAUACCCCGGUAGUCCUAGCCGUAAACGAUGGACACUAGGUGUUGGUGGUAUCAACCCCGCCAG